GAUGAACGCUGGCGGCGUGCCUAAUACAUGCAAGUCGAGCGAACAGACGAGGAGCUUGCUCCUCUGACGUUAGCGGCGGACGGGUGAGUAACACGUGGAUAACCUACCUAUAAGACUGGGAUAACUUCGGGAAACCGGAGCUAAUACCGGAUAAUAUAUUGAACCGCAUGGUUCAAUAGUGAAAGACGGUUUUGCUGUCACUUAUAGAUGGAUCCGCGCCGCAUUAGCUAGUUGGUAAGGUAACGGCUUACCAAGGCAACGAUGCGUAGCCGACCUGAGAGGGUGAUCGGCCACACUGGAAAUGAGACACGGUCCAGACUCCUACGGGAGGAAGCAGUAGGGAAUCUUCCGCAAUGGGAGAAAGCCUGACGGAGCAACGCAGCGUGAGUGAUGAAGGUCUUCGGAUCGUAAAACUCUGUUAUUAGGGAAGAACAAAUGUGUAAGUAACUAUGCACGUCUUGACGGUACCUAAUCAGAAGGCCACGGCUAACUACGUG
RNAcentral lists this ribosomal RNA (497 nucleotides) under uncultured bacterium. RNAcentral describes it as "partial 16S ribosomal RNA". It matches the Rfam family "Bacterial small subunit ribosomal RNA", at positions 28 to 507 of the family's 1533-position model. The record is from RNAcentral.